AUAACAGCGAUGAAAAGAAAAAGUAAACCUGAACUGCUCGUCCAGAGAGUUCCCGGUCGGUGCAAGGGAAUAUGAGAAACAGGUUGAACACAUCUUGGAGCAAUUCACCGAACGAGGAAUCAAGUAGGCUGGAUCGGAACCUGUACCCGUUAUCGUACUAGAGUAUAGAAGUUUUGUACUCGAAGAGGCUGGAUUUCGUGAGGAAUUCAGUGAAUUAAGGUGGAACCACGAAGGGAAAAACGACCCUCUCGUCCUUAGC
RNAcentral lists this non-coding RNA (259 nucleotides) under Holdemania filiformis. RNAcentral describes it as "T-box sequence". It matches the Rfam family "T-box leader". Rfam says of the family: Uncharged tRNA acts as the effector for transcription antitermination of genes in the T-box leader family. T-boxes are found upstream of many aminoacyl-tRNA synthetase genes and some amino acid biosynthetic genes usually in Gram-positive bacteria. The anticodon of a specific tRNA base pairs to a specifier sequence within the T-box motif, and the NCCA acceptor tail of the tRNA base pairs to a conserved bulge in the T-box antiterminator hairpin. The record is from RNAcentral. Lineage: Bacteria; Bacillati; Bacillota; Erysipelotrichia; Erysipelotrichales; Erysipelotrichaceae.